UGUCAUUGGGUAAAUGGAAGAUGUCAGA
This 28-nucleotide non-coding RNA is filed under the name Bombyx mori (domestic silkworm). Lineage: Eukaryota; Metazoa; Arthropoda; Insecta; Lepidoptera; Bombycidae. The record is from RNAcentral.